This 411-nucleotide ribosomal RNA is filed under the name Triticum aestivum (bread wheat). RNAcentral describes it as "partial small subunit ribosomal RNA". Lineage: Eukaryota; Viridiplantae; Streptophyta; Magnoliopsida; Poales; Poaceae. The record is from RNAcentral.
AUGCAUCUGGAGGACAACGAUAGCCAAGCCCAACGCGGCGGCGCUCCAGCGCUGCACCACUCGCCCGACACGGCGAACAAGGAGCAGUCGAAGAAGGAUUGGUCGGUGCUGCCGGCUGGCGUCAAGUUCGAUCCCAUGGAUCAGGAGCUGGUCGAGCACCUUGACGCCAAAGUGAGUGUUGACAGUGCAAUAUCUCACCCUCUCAUCAAUUUGUUCAUACCAAUCAUCAACAGCGAGCACGACAUAUGCUACACCCAUCCUGAGAAACUUACAGGUAUCACACUGAAUGGCCUAAGCAAGCAUUUCUUCCAGCGCAAUUCCAGGGCGUUCAAAAGGCGCACAUGGACGCGUCGCAAGAUACAGUCGGAGUGCGGUAUGCACGCGAUGUGGCACAAGACCGGUAAUACCUAG